RNAcentral lists this ribosomal RNA (550 nucleotides) under uncultured Actinomycetes bacterium. RNAcentral's name for it is "bacterial SSU rRNA". It matches the Rfam family "Bacterial small subunit ribosomal RNA", at positions 355 to 897 of the family's 1533-position model. The record is from RNAcentral. Lineage: Bacteria; Bacillati; Actinomycetota; Actinomycetes.
UGGGGAAUCUUGCGCAAUGGGCGAAAGCCUGACGCAGCGACGCCGCGUGCGGGAAGAAGGCCCUAGGGUUGUAAACCGCUUUCAGGAGGGACGAAGCCACUCGGGUGAACAGCCCAGAGGGUGACGGUACCUCCAGAAGAAGCCCCGGCUAACUACGUGCCAGCAGCCGCGGUAAUACGUAGGGGGCAAGCGUUGUCCGGAUUCAUUGGGCGUAAAGAGCGUGUAGGCGGCCAGGUAGGUCGGUUGUGAAAACUGGAGGCUCAACCUUCAGAGGUCGACCGAAACCAUCUGGCUAGAGUCCGGGAGAGGAGAGUGGAAUUCCUGGUAUAGCGGUGAAAUGCGCAGAUAUCAGGAAGAACACCCGUGGCGAAAGCGGCUCUCUGGAACGGCACUGACGCUGAGACGCGAAAGCGUGGGGAGCGAACAGGAUUAGAUACCCUGGUAGUCCACGCCGUAAACGAUGGGCGCUAGGUGUGGGAGGUGUCGACUCCUCCCGUGCCGCAGCUAACGCAUUAAGCGCCCCGCCUGGGGAGUACGGCCGCAAGGCUAA